Molecule: ribosomal RNA, 904 nt
Filed under: Lophiotrema hydei
Lineage: Eukaryota; Fungi; Ascomycota; Dothideomycetes; Pleosporales; Lophiotremataceae
Description: partial 28S ribosomal RNA
Rfam family: Eukaryotic large subunit ribosomal RNA
Source: RNAcentral
GCAUAUCAAUAAGCGGAGGAAAAGAAACCAACAGGGAUUGCCCUAGUAACGGCGAGUGAAGCGGCAAGAGCUCAAAUUUGAAAUCUGGCCCUCUCAGGGUCCGAGUUGUAAUUUGUAGAGGGCGCUUUGGCGUUGGCCCCGGCCUAAGUUCCUUGGAACAGGACGUCACAGAGGGUGAGAACCCCGUACGUGGCCGCCGGCCUCCGCCGUGUAAAGCCCCUUCGACGAGUCGAGUUGUUUGGGAAUGCAGCUCUAAAUGGGAGGUAAAUUUCUUCUAAAGCUAAAUACUGGCCAGAGACCGAUAGCGCACAAGUAGAGUGAUCGAAAGAUGAAAAGCACUUUGGAAAGAGAGUCAAAAAGCACGUGAAAUUGUUGAAAGGGAAGCGCUUGCAGCCAGACUUGCCUGUAGUUGCUCAUCCGAGCUCCCGCUCGGUGCACUCUUCUGCGGGCAGGCCAGCAUCAGUCCGGGCGGUCGGAUAAAGGCCUCGGGAAUGUAGCUCCCCUCGGGGAGUGUUAUAGCCCGGGGUGCCAUGCGACCAGCCUGGACUGAGGUCCGCGCAUCUGCUAGGAUGCUGGCGUAAUGGCUGUAAGCGGCCCGUCUUGAAACACGGACCAAGGAGUCUAACAUCUAUGCGAGUGUUUGGGUGUCAAGCCCGGGCGCGCAAUGAAAGUGAACGGAGGUGGGAACCCCUCGGGGCGCACCAUCGACCGAUCCUGAUGUCUUCGGAUGGAUUUGAGUAAGAGCAUAGCUGUUGGGACCCGAAAGAUGGUGAACUAUGCCUGAAUAGGGUGAAGCCAGAGGAAACUCUGGUGGAGGCUCGCAGCGGUUCUGACGUGCAAAUCGAUCGUCAAAUUUGGGCAUAGGGGCGAAAGACUAAUCGAACUAUCUAGUAGCUCUAAGAAA